ACUCAAAUGAAUUGACGGGGGCCCGCACAAGCGGUGGAGCAUGGGGAUUAAUUCGUCAUUAACCGAAGAACCUUACCAGGGUUUGACAUCCGCGGAAAGUCCGUGAAAGCGGUACCCUCCGGAGCAAUCCGGACCGCGAGACAGGUGUUGCAUGGCUGUCGUCAGCUCGUGUCGUGAGAUGUUGGGUUAAGUCCCGCAACGAGCGCAACCCUCACGCAAUGUUGCCAGCGUCAAGUCGGGAACUCUUUGCGAACUGCCCGGGUAACCGGGAGGAAGGUGGGGAUGACGUCAAGUCGGCAUGGCCCUUACAUCCUGGGCUUCACCCAUGCUACAAUGGGCGCGACAGAGGGCACGCAAGACCGCGAGGUGGAGCAAAUCCCAUAAAGGCGCUCUCAGUUCGGAUUGCAGGCUGCAACUCGCCUGCAUGAAGUCGGAAUCGCUAGUAACCGCCGGUCAGCUAAACGGCGGUGAAUACGUUCCCGGGCCUUGUACACACCGCCCGU
RNAcentral lists this ribosomal RNA (503 nucleotides) under uncultured bacterium. Its description in RNAcentral is "partial 16S ribosomal RNA". It matches the Rfam family "Bacterial small subunit ribosomal RNA", at positions 899 to 1397 of the family's 1533-position model. The record is from RNAcentral.